Molecule: unclassified non-coding RNA, 674 nt
Filed under: Hevea brasiliensis (rubber tree)
Lineage: Eukaryota; Viridiplantae; Streptophyta; Magnoliopsida; Malpighiales; Euphorbiaceae
Source: RNAcentral
CAAGUGUAAGUAUUGCGAAACUUUACAUCAUAACGACAGAGAUCUCUGUCUGCGAUUUCGACCAAAAAAUGAUUAGCCUUAAUCACACACUUCUUGCCAGCAGUACCAAACCCAGGCCUAGGCGUGAAACGAACGGCCUUUGACGUCGCCGGCGUCUCAGCCUUCGUCACCUGAUCUCCAGUUGUUAGCUUCUGCUCCAUCUCUAGUCUCAGCUCCUCCACCGCCGCCGAACUCGAUGCCGCCGCCUGAGACGGCGAUGCUCUCGACGAAGAAGCCAAAGCUUGAGGAGGCGUUUGACUCGGAGCAACAGACAUGAUACCAGGAUGGAAGGCAGACGCCGGAGAACGAGAUAUGGGAGGGAAGGCCGAAGGCCGUGAAGGACCAGCUUGAUUGAAAGUUGGAGCGGGAUUAUAGCCGCGGCCAGCGCGUCCGCUGCCAUCUCUUCCACCUCUACCGCCACCACCACCGCGCUGGAACGACGGAGAUGGAGAUGAUGAUUGCUGAUCUCGGUGAGAAUCCUGGAGGCGACCACCGCCACGGCGAGACAUUGUGUCGAACGGUUACUACUUGCAGAGAAAGAGCUAAGAAAAACCGAAGACACCAACCAAUGAUUCUAACACUGAAAAUAAGGCAAGCAGAGAGUAAGAGAGAGAGAGAGAGAAAGAGAGUAUGCG